Molecule: ribosomal RNA, 445 nt
Filed under: uncultured bacterium
Lineage: Bacteria
Description: SSU rRNA
Rfam family: Bacterial small subunit ribosomal RNA
Source: RNAcentral
AGAGCGAACGCUGGCGGCAGGCCUAACACAUGCAAGUCGAGCGCCCGUAGCAAUACGGGAACGGCAGACGGGAUAGUAACACGUGGGAACGCGCCCUUCGGUUCGGAAUAACUCAGGGAAACUUGAGCUAAUACCGAAUACGCCCUUACGGGGAAAGAUUUAUUGCCGAAGGAACGGCCCGCGUCCGAUUAGCUAGUUGGUGAGGUAAUGGCUCACCAAGGCUACGAUCGGUAGCUGGUCUGAGAGGAUGACCAGCAUCACUGGGACUGAGACACGGCCCAGACUCCUACGGGAGGCAGCAGUGGGGAAUAUUGGACAAUGGGCGCAAGCCUGAUCCAGCCAUGCCGCGUGGAUGAUGGAAGGCCUUAGGGUGUAAAGUCCUUUUAACGGGGAGAUAAUGACGGUACCGUAGAAUAAGCCCGGCUAACUUCGUGCCAGCAGCCGC